Molecule: non-coding RNA, 73 nt
Organism: Octopus bimaculoides (California two-spot octopus)
Lineage: Eukaryota; Metazoa; Mollusca; Cephalopoda; Octopoda; Octopodidae
Source: the annotation of a RefSeq genome assembly
ACCCGCAUAGCUCAGUUGGUAGAGCAUCAGAUUUUUAAUCUGAGGGUCGCGGGUUCGAAUCCCUCUGCGGGCG